Molecule: ribosomal RNA, 167 nt
Filed under: Garra sp. CBM:ZF:14813
Lineage: Eukaryota; Metazoa; Chordata; Actinopteri; Cypriniformes; Cyprinidae
Description: partial 12S rRNA
Source: RNAcentral
CACCGCGGUUAGACGAAAGGCCCUAGUUGAAAAUAGCCGGCGUAAAGGGUGGUUAAGAAUAAUAAUAAAUAUAGCUUAAUGACCCUUCGGCUGUCGUACGCUUCUAGAUGUCUGAAAACCCACACGAAAGUAGCCUUAAUUUAUCUGACCCCACGAAAGCUGAGGAA